UAUUUUUUAAUAUCAGCAGAACUAAUGUCUGAGUACAUUAAUUUAAUAAUUUUUAAUUGAUAUCUGGACAAUAAAUAUGACUGCAAAUAUUUGACAGGGGCGAGUUCAACCAUGGAGUAAAAGAAAAGAACAAAAACUUAAAAGCUGAAUAUUUGAUGUCAAAUCAGAAAACGUUCAUGAAGAAACCAGCACGUACCAAUG
RNAcentral lists this long non-coding RNA (201 nucleotides) under Mytilus galloprovincialis (Mediterranean mussel). Lineage: Eukaryota; Metazoa; Mollusca; Bivalvia; Mytilida; Mytilidae. The record is from RNAcentral.